AUCGUCGUGGUGUAAUGGUCAGCACACUCGACGCGUAUUCGAGACGUCCGAGGUUCGAGUCCCGGCGAGGGUA
This 73-nucleotide transfer RNA is filed under the name Stegodyphus mimosarum. It matches the Rfam family "tRNA". From Rfam's summary of the family: Transfer RNA (tRNA) molecules are approximately 80 nucleotides in length. Their secondary structure includes four short double-helical elements and three loops (D, anti-codon, and T loops). Lineage: Eukaryota; Metazoa; Arthropoda; Arachnida; Araneae; Eresidae. The record is from Rfam by way of RNAcentral.